Molecule: non-coding RNA, 74 nt
Organism: Leuconostoc pseudomesenteroides PS12
Lineage: Bacteria; Bacillati; Bacillota; Bacilli; Lactobacillales; Lactobacillaceae
Source: Rfam
CGGGAUGUAGCUCAGCUUGGUAGAGCACCAUGUUCGGGACGUGGGGGUCGUGAGUUCAAAUCUCGUCAUCCCGA